RNAcentral lists this ribosomal RNA (253 nucleotides) under uncultured bacterium. Its description in RNAcentral is "partial 16S ribosomal RNA". It matches the Rfam family "Bacterial small subunit ribosomal RNA", at positions 524 to 776 of the family's 1533-position model. The record is from RNAcentral.
UACGGAGGGUGCAAGCGUUAUCCGGAUUCACUGGGUUUAAAGGGUGCGUAGGUGGGUUGGUAAGUCAGUGGUGAAAUCUCCGGGCUUAACCUGGAAGCUGCCAUUGAUACUAUCAAUCUUGAAUACCUUGGAGGUGAGCGGAAUAUGUCAUGUAGCGGUGAAAUGCUUAGAUAUGACAUAGAACACCAAUUGCGAAGGCAGCUCACUACACGGUCAUUGACACUGAGGCACGAAAGCGUGGGGAUCAAACAGG